GAACGGUCGGCAGGCGAUCAGCGUCGGUCAAGCGAGGUGGUAUGGCUCCCCAGAGGCCGGUUCUUGUGCUGCCUACCCCUUGAGGGGAAGCGGGCCACUCGAUGUAAGGCUCCAUCCGGCGCCCUCCAACGGGCGCAGGAGGACAACGGAGCACCCCCCGCGUUCCACCGGGCCUCAGCCGGUCGCGUGGCGCGCGGGGACGUGCGAUGCUCUCGGACCCAGCGAACGCCGUGGGCGAGGACUCACGUCCCAGUCCCUAUAGAAGCUCCGACAAAAUGCAAGACGGCCGCCCCCGACCCCCGACCGCCCCGGCGGCGCGGGGGCGAGGCGCGGCGUCGCGGAGGAAUGCUACCU
Molecule: unclassified non-coding RNA, 354 nt
Filed under: Acacia minniritchi
Lineage: Eukaryota; Viridiplantae; Streptophyta; Magnoliopsida; Fabales; Fabaceae
Description: Acacia gracillima partial external transcribed spacer
Source: RNAcentral